Molecule: ribosomal RNA, 497 nt
Filed under: uncultured bacterium
Lineage: Bacteria
Description: partial 16S ribosomal RNA
Rfam family: Bacterial small subunit ribosomal RNA
Source: RNAcentral
GAUGAACGCUGGCGGCGUGCCUAAUACAUGCAAGUCGAGCGAACGGACGAGAAGCUUGCUUCUCUGAUGUUAGCGGCGGACGGGUGAGUAACACGUGGAUAACCUACCUAUAAGACUGGGAUAACUUCGGGAAACCGGAGCUAAUACCGGAUGAUAUUUUAAACCGCAUGGUUCAAAAGUGAAAGACGGUCUUGCUGUCACUUAUAGAUGGAUCCGCGCUGCAUUAGCUAGUUGGUAAGGUAACGGCUUACCAAGGCAACGAUGCAUAGCCGACCUGAGAGGGUGAUCGGCCACACUGGAACUGAGACACGGUCCAGACUCCUACGGGAGGCAGCAGUAGGGAAUCUUCCGCAAUGGGCGAAAGCCUGACGGAGCAACGCCGCGUGAGUGAUGAAGGUCUUCGGAUCGUAAAACUCUGUUAUUAGGGAAGAACAUAUGUGUAAGUAACUGUGCACAUCUUGACGGUACCUAAUCAGAAAGCCACGGCUAACUACGUG